RNAcentral lists this ribosomal RNA (510 nucleotides) under uncultured bacterium. RNAcentral's name for it is "bacterial SSU rRNA". It matches the Rfam family "Bacterial small subunit ribosomal RNA", at positions 791 to 1304 of the family's 1533-position model. The record is from RNAcentral.
UAGUCCACGCCGUAAACGAUGGUUACUAGCUGUUGGGCCGAUUGGGGCUCAGUGGCCAAGCGAAAGUGAUAAGUAACCCACCUGGGGAGUACGUUCGCAAGAAUGAAACUCAAAGGAAUUGACGGGGGCCCGCACAAGCGGUGGAGCAUGUGGUUUAAUUCGAUGAUACGCGAGGAACCUUACCAGGGCUUAAAUGCAGUUGGACAGGGGUGGAAACACCCCCUUCUUCGGACUGAUUGCAAGGUGCUGCAUGGUUGUCGUCAGCUCGUGCCGUGAGGUGUCAGGUUAAGUCCUAUAACGAGCGCAACCCCUGUGGUUAGUUGCCAGCGAGUAAUGUCGGGAACUCUAGCCAGACUGCCGGUGCAAACCGUGAGGAAGGUGAGGAUGACGUCAAGUCUGCAUGCCCCUUAUGUUCUGGGCUACACACGUGCUACAAUGGUUAGGACAAAGAGUCGCCAACUUGCAAAAGUGAGCUAAUCUCGUAAACCUAAUCUCAGUUCGGAUCGCAGG